GCUGAUAGCGCUCAUGGUCGGCCUUCGCCGACUGGGUGCGCAUGGUAUUCCCUGGGCUCGCCAUGUAAGUCAGAUAGAAAAUGUUUCUUAAGUUGGAAUGUGUUUGCGGAAGCGAUGGAGUGCUUGACUCCGAGGUCGUUUGACCGGUUGGUCUAAGAUACCAAAAUUGGGCAUGUGAUAUUAUGUUACGGGCAAAGCUGCAGAGUUGUACCACGACUUAUUCGCACGCAAAGGCUCCACGCUCACAAUUCAGAGCAUGCGUGAUGACUUCGUGUUGUUUUUCGGUGACGUGCGCCAUUGCACCCCUCACCACGUACGAACACAACUACAUGCCGGUGCACACGCGAUGAAACCCGGCGAGUCCAUACCGAAUUACGUGCAACGGUUCCGCGAAAUUACGCGCGGUGACCCUAACAUGUCUCAAAUUGACUUGUGCACUUGGCUUAUUCACGGUAUGCCACCGCAACUGC
This 470-nucleotide long non-coding RNA is filed under the name Volvox carteri. Its description in RNAcentral is "long non-coding RNA (VCAR_LNC001373)". Lineage: Eukaryota; Viridiplantae; Chlorophyta; Chlorophyceae; Chlamydomonadales; Volvocaceae. The record is from RNAcentral.